This is a non-coding RNA of Jatropha curcas, 3462 nucleotides long. The record is from RefSeq and is a predicted model, not a curated record. Lineage: Eukaryota; Viridiplantae; Streptophyta; Magnoliopsida; Malpighiales; Euphorbiaceae.
CGUAUACAGAUAUACAGACACAGACAUAGAGAUAGACAUAGACAUAGACGAGUGCAGUGCAGGGCGAGCCGAAUUCUCUAUGGCGCUCAAAUAAUAAAUCCUUCUGCAAAAAGCCCAAACCCGUGUCGAACUUUCACCUUAUCUCUUCUUCUAUGCCGUAAAUCGAAACUCAUUGCUGCAUUUUUCAUCGUCGCUGACCAACUCGUCGCCUACCACUCCAAGGUCCUCGAGCCUCUCUUUGGCAAUCGGUGAUCAUUUUUUCUUUAAUUUUCCUUUCCUGUUACAGAAUCAGCGGCACAAAGGAACCCAGAACAGCCGCUCGCCCUUCGGCUUGUCGCACCGUCGUCCGUUGCCGGUUCAUUCUUGUAAAAUUAGCAGUAUCUGUGCAUCACAAAAUUAGGCCGGUUAAUGUCUUGUAAAAUUGAAAAUAAAGCCUUGGAUUACACGAGUCGCAGAAUCAGUUAAUUAAGUUAUCUUUCUCCAAUUUUCUCAAUUCUGGACAACACCCCCCCUUUUCUGUACAAAAAAUGGCGAAUGUCUCUGUCGCCGCGGAAUGGCAAGUGCUGUUGAAUCGCUUCUACAGGAAGCUGGAGAUAUACCAAAUGCAGUGGAAGCAUGUGGAUUUGAGCCGCAAUAAGGUGGCAUGCGCCCAAUUCGGCGGCCCAAUCGCUAUCAUCCGCGAUGACUCUAAGAUCGUCCAGCUCUACUCGGAAUCCGCCCUCCGUAAACUCCGCAUCUUCAAUUCUGCCGGCAUUCUUGUCUCCGAAACCGUAUGGAAACACCCCGGUGGCCGCCUAAUUGGCAUGUCAUGGACCGACGAUCAAACCCUAAUCUGCAUAGUCCAAGACGGCACGAUUUACCGAUAUAAUAUCAAUGCGGAAUGCCUUGAACCCAAUUUUUCCAUGGGGAAAGAGUGCUUCGAGCAGAAUGUGGUGGAUUGCGUUUUUUGGGGGAACGGUGUUGUGUGUUUGACAGAGGCCGGGAAGUUGUUCUGCGUGGCGGAUUUUAAGGAUAUAAAACCAUAUAAGAUGGCAGAUCUUGUAGUUGAGAUGGAGGAAGAGCUUCCGCAUUGCAUGGCGGUGAUAGAACCCCAGUAUACUGUGUCAGGGAAUGUCGAGGUGCUGUUGGGAAUGGGGGAUAAGAUUUUGAGAGUGGAUGACGAUGACGUGAGACCGGUGGAAAUCGAAGAACUGCAGGGACCAGUGCAGAAAAUUGCAGUUUCACAUGAUGGGAGGUUUUUGGCGUGUUUCAGACAUGAUGGUACUCUUGUCAUGUGGAAUUUAGAAUCGGGGUCCUGCUAUGAACAUCCGUGUGAGUCAGCCCUUCCUCCAGAGCAGAUGGCUUGGUGUGGAUUGGACAGUGUGCUGCUUUAUUGGGAUGAUAUGCUUUUGAUGGUGGUUCCUGACGAUCAUGUAUCUUACACGUAUGAUGAACCUGUGAUUCUAAUCCCUGAGUGUGAUGGAGUGAGGAUAUUAUCAAAUACAAGUAUGGAGUUUCUACAACGAGUACCUGAUUCCACUGAAUCUAUCUUUAAGAUAGGCAGCACAUCACCUGCAUCUUUACUAUUUGAUGCUUUGGACCAUUUUGACAGGCGGAGUGCUAAGGCUGAUGAAAAUUUGAGAUUGAUUCGCACAUCCUUGCCUGAGGCUGUUGAAGCAUGUGUCGAUGCUGCAGGUCAUGAAUUUGAUGUUUCCCGUCAACGGACACUACUAAGAGCUGCAAGCUACGGCCAAGCCUUUUGUAGUUGGCUUUGGCAGCAACUUCCCACGUGACUGCAUUCAAGAUAUGUGCAAAACUUUGCGGGUUUUAAAUGCUGGGCGCGACUCUAGGAUUGGUAUCUCUCUAAGUAUUCAGCAAUAUAAGUCUCUUACAGCACCUGUUUUGAUUGGUCGUUUGAUUAAUGCUCACCAACACCUUCUUGCACUAAGGAUAGCUGAGUACCUUGGAAUGAAUCAAGUAAGUUUUGAAUACAAUCAUGAUUGUUUGGUCGUCAUAUUUUAUUGGCAUCUUCAGUUAUGGUGCUUUUUCCAUAAAUUGAAUGUUGAAAUGUUAAUUGGUUUCUUUGGAGGAUUAAUUAUUUAUCAUUUACUUAAAUAUCAAUUAUUCCUUGCAUACCACUAGUUUUCUAGGAUGCAUUAUCAUAUUAUGAUGUAUAUAUAGUUUGUAGCUUAUAGAGCCUCAUACCAUCGACUUCUCUGCCACUUUGCCUGCUAUUGUCUAGAUGGUUAUGAUGUAAGGUUUGGAAUCUAAAUUGUAGAGUUGUACAUAUAAAACUUUGUGAAGGGAAAUUGGCAAAUAAAAACUUUUGAAACUAGAGAAAGUAUGGGCAUUCGUAAUGGAAUUAUUGAAACGUUAACUGGAGAAAAUGCAUAUAAUUUGGCACCAUUGAACUCUAAUUUGUGACUAAUCAAACGUUAGUUUCAAUUUUUGGUAAUGGACUUAUAAUUUAAGUUCUUCACAAACUUAAGCUUUUGAGUUAUGACCAAACUUUUUGAUGCCUCUUGGUGCGAAUUUUAGCGCCAUUCAUUUCUAGGAUGAAACAUUCAUGUAUACUAUUACUAAAGCUAUAAUCUAAAGGUGGAUUUGACAUUAAAUACUUUGUUGAGUAGUGGUUUUAAUUUAGUACAUGAUAUUGUAGGGCAAAAUGUUGAUGCAUCUAAAGCUGUAAUUUUGAACAUUUAUUUUUGGCUCAAUAUAUAAAUUCACCUUUGUACUUUUUACGAAAAGUCUUGUGGCACUCUCAGAUUUUACUUUGACACAUUGAACAUUUCAAUUUGUAAAAUAUGUACCUAUUAAACACUUUAUUUAUCAAUUUUAUCCUUAAUAAUUAUUUUACUAAGAGUAAAACAAAGUUCAAUGAAAGUCUUUUGGAGGGUAUUUUUUUAAGAAGUAUAAUUCAUUAAAAAUAGAUUCUCAAGUAUUACAAAUACUUAUAUAGAUCAGAGAUGGAACUUAAUAUCUUAGUUGAUAGAGUUCGCCAAUCUUUUGAAAAACCAAAAGAAAUUUUUAUAUUCUUUGGAACGAUAAAACUAAAAUUAAAAGAGAUAAAUCUUUCCAUUUGAAGACGAUUUUGAUAAAAGAUAUAAAACUUUAUAGAGGCAACUAGUCCUUUAUUUGAUUUGGACAACAAAAUAGCUUCUCUAUUAUACUUGGAUUGUUUUUCUAAGAAUUUGUUACAUAUGACGUACACAAAUGAGUUCGCCCUACUAGCGCAUCAAUGACAUCAAUGGAGGAACAUGCCAUCGUAUUAGACUUUGUUGAUCGAAGAUUUAGACCUGCAAAUCAAGAUCUAACCAACCUAAAAAAUCAAAUAUCAUACCUUUAUUUAGUAAUAGAUGCAAACAAAGAAGGAACUACAUCCUCACAAAAGAAGGGACAAAAGAACUUCAUAUAUGGAGACAAAGCAACAAUAACAAAGGCAAAGCAUCAAUAGCAAAAAAAAAAAAAAAAAAAAAAAAAAAA